CCCUCACCAGGUCUCCUGCUGCUGAU
RNAcentral lists this unclassified non-coding RNA (26 nucleotides) under Mus musculus (house mouse). RNAcentral's name for it is "oocyte_clustered_small_RNA12834". Lineage: Eukaryota; Metazoa; Chordata; Mammalia; Rodentia; Muridae. The record is from RNAcentral.